UAAUCGCAGAUCAGAAUGCUGCGGUGAAUGCGUUCCCGGGUCCUGUACACACCGCCCGUCACACCACGGAAGUUGGGGCGCCCGAAGCCACUUAGCUAACCCUUUUGGGAAGCGAGUGUCGAAGGUGAAAUCAAUAACUGGGGUGAAGUCGUAACAAGGUAUC
Molecule: ribosomal RNA, 163 nt
Filed under: uncultured bacterium
Lineage: Bacteria
Description: partial 16S ribosomal RNA
Rfam family: Bacterial small subunit ribosomal RNA
Source: RNAcentral